Molecule: long non-coding RNA, 712 nt
Organism: Oncorhynchus keta (chum salmon)
Lineage: Eukaryota; Metazoa; Chordata; Actinopteri; Salmoniformes; Salmonidae
Exons: 4
Source: RefSeq, a predicted model, not a curated record
AGGUGCAGUUUCGAUGGGCCGGGCCGUGCAAGUUGACUGGGUUUGGGUGUAGUUUAGGUGUAGUUUCGAUGGGUCGGGCCGUGCAGGUUGACUGAGUUUAGGUGUAGUUUCGAUGGGCCGGGCUGUGCAGGUUGACUGGGUUUAGGUGUAGUUUCGAUGGGCCGGGCCGUGCAGGUUGACUGGGUUUAGGUGUAGUUUCGAUGGGCCGGGCUGUGCAGGUUGACUGGGUUUAGGUGUAGUUUAGGUGUAGUUUCGAUGGGCCGGGCUGUGCAGGCUGACUGGGUUUAGGUGUAGUUUAGGUGUAGUUUCGAUGGGCCGGGCUGUGCAGGCUGACUGGGUUUAGGUGUAGUUUCGAUGGGCCGGGCCGUGCAGGUUGACUGAGUUUAGGUGUAGUUUCGAUGGGCCGGGCCGUGCAGGUUGACUGGGUUUAGGUGUAGUUUAGGUGUAGUUUCGAUGGGCCGGGCUGUGCAGGCUGACUGGGUUUAGGUGUAGUUUCGAUGGGCCGGGCUGUGCAGGCUGACUGGGUUUAGGUGUAGUUUAGAUGGGCUGGGCUGUGCAGGUUGACUGGGUUUAGGUGUAGUUUCGAUGGGCCGGGCCGUGCAGGUUGACUGAGUUUAGGUGUAGUUUCGAUGGGCCGGGCUGUGCAGGUUGACUGGGUUUAGGUGUAGUUUAGGUGUAGUUUCGAUGGGCCGGGCUGUGCAGGCUGACUGGG